RNAcentral lists this ribosomal RNA (253 nucleotides) under uncultured bacterium. RNAcentral's name for it is "partial 16S ribosomal RNA". It matches the Rfam family "Bacterial small subunit ribosomal RNA", at positions 524 to 776 of the family's 1533-position model. The record is from RNAcentral.
UACGUAGGGGGCUAGCGUUGUCCGGAAUCAUUGGGCGUAAAGAGCGUGUAGGCGGCCAACUAAGUCCUGCGUGAAAUCUCGGGGCUCAACCCCGAGCGGUCGUGGGAAACUGGUUGGCUAGAGUGCGGGAGAGGAGAGUGGAAUUCCUGGUGUAGCGGUGAAAUGCGCAGAUAUCAGGAAGAACACCCGUGGCGAAGGCGGCUCUCUGGAACGCAACUGACACUGAGACGCGAAAGCGUGGGGAGCAAACAGG